RNAcentral lists this long non-coding RNA (541 nucleotides) under Homo sapiens (human). Its description in RNAcentral is "non-protein coding lnc-PKMYT1-4:1". Lineage: Eukaryota; Metazoa; Chordata; Mammalia; Primates; Hominidae. The record is from RNAcentral.
CCUGCCCCUUGUAAAGCUGAAGCCAAAGCAAAGGCUUUAAAGGCCAAGGCGGCAGCGUUGAAAGGCGUCCACAGCCACACAAAAAAAGAACCUCACAACAGCCACACACACAAAACAAACUAUAAAAAAAAUAGAUCCGCACAACAGCCACACACACACAAAAAAAGAUCCACACAACAGCCCCCCCAAAAAAAGAUCCGCGCGUCACCCGCCUUCUGGCAGCCCAAGACACUGCGACUCCGGAGGCAGCCCAAAUAUCCUCGGAAGAGCGCCCCCAGGAGAAACGAGCUUGACCACUAUGCGAUCAUCAAUUUUCCACCGACCACUGAGUCUGCCAUGAAGAAGACAGAAGACAACACACUUGUCUUCACUGUGGAUGUUAAAGCCAACAAGCACCAGCUCAAACAGGCUGUGAAGAACUCUGUGAGGUGGUUGUGGCCCAGGUCAAUACCCUGAUUGGGCCUGAUGGAGAGAAGAAGGCACAUGUUCCACUGGCUCCUGAUCAGGAUGCUUUGGGUGUGGCCAACAAAAUGGAGAUCAU